Molecule: long non-coding RNA, 848 nt
Filed under: Homo sapiens (human)
Lineage: Eukaryota; Metazoa; Chordata; Mammalia; Primates; Hominidae
Description: long non-coding RNA NONHSAT199719.1
Source: RNAcentral
ACUGGGAUGCGCUUACUGCUGCGCUGCUGCUCGGUCAGCCAGCGUCUGGGAUGGGAGCGCUCCUGCAUUUUACAUGACUGCGGGGCCUGUUCCUUGCGCCUGUCUGGUCGCGUCACAUCAUGGAGGGUUUCUCGGGGCGGCCGGCCGCCUCUGAGCACAGCCAGGGUGGUGUUUGCAGCACAGCUGCUGCCUAGGCCUCGCUGCGGAGGUGCUGGGCCACGGCCCCGUGGAGGCAGAGCCGCAGGGCCAUCGACAUGUCCUUUGAAAACGGGCAUUUCCCCAACUCAUGCAGGUGGAGGGGAGAGCGAAGCCAAAUGGGACACCGGCCCCCACACACUGCCCCGGCUCCUGCAUUUCCGGAGAUGGAAACCUGGAGAGCAGCUGGGCCUGCAGCGCUGGCCCCAGCCUGGCCGAGCGAGCAUUUGUUCACCCAAGACCUUUCCCCUCCUGCCCUCGUGGAGCCUCCACAAGGAGUAAACAACCACUUCGGGUCCCUCAAAGCAUCAACUCUGUGCCUUGCAGACAGCGGACACGUAACACAGCCACGCGGCGUGAACAUGAGCAGACUUCUUUUUUCCAGGAUGUGCACGGUUUCCACGACAAUGCCCACUGCACGCCUUAUGGCCUCACCAGAGACGUAAAGCAGAUGCCAAGAAACUUCCCCCCAAAAUGGGCUGGCUUGCCAAGCCCAGGACCGCCUGUCCAGCUGGGGCUGGGGGCAAGGAUCCCAUUUUCUGUGACUCUCUUUGCUCUGAUGGUCAGGUUCACCGGCCGUACGUGUAAUCUGAAGCAUUCGGUAGCGAUCUAAUUAAAUGUUAACACAUCAUUAAAGUGAUUUGCGAUAAGCA